RNAcentral lists this ribosomal RNA (803 nucleotides) under Erwinia sp. RNAcentral's name for it is "partial 16S ribosomal RNA". The record is from RNAcentral. Lineage: Bacteria; Pseudomonadati; Pseudomonadota; Gammaproteobacteria; Enterobacterales; Erwiniaceae.
GGGAAACUGCCUGAUGGAGGGGGAUAACUACUGGAAACSGUAGCUAAUACCGCAUAACGWCUUCGGACCAAAGUGGGGGACCUUCSGGCCUCACACCAUCGGAUGUGCCCAGAUGGGAUUAGCUAGUAGGUGGGGUAAUGGCUCACCUAGGCGACGAUCCCUAGCUGGKCUGAGAGGAUGACCAGCCACACUGGAACUGAGACACGGUCCASACUCCUACGGGAGGCAGCAGUGGGGAAUAUUGCACAAUGGGCGCAAGCCUGAUGCRGCCAUGCCGCGUGUAUGAAGAASGCCUUCGGGUUGUAAAGYACUUUCWKCGGGGAGGAAGGCGAUAAGGUUAAUAACCYUGUCGAUUGACGUUACCCGCAGAAGAAGCACCGGCUAACUCCGUGCCAGCAGCCGCGGUARUACGGAGGGUGCAAGCGUUAAUCGGAAUUACUGGGCGUAARGCGCACGCAKGCGGUCUGUCAAGUCAGAUGUGAAAUCCCCGGGCUYAACCUGGGAACUGCAUUUGAAACUGGCAGGCUAGAGUCUUGUAGAGGGGGGUAGAAUUCCAGGUGUAGCGGUGAAAUGCRUAKAGAUCUGGAGGAAUACCGGUGGCGAAGGCGGCCCCCUGGACAAAGACUGACGCUCAGGUGCGAAAGCGUGGGGAGCAAACAGGAUUAGAUACCCUGGUAGUCCACGCCGUAAACGAUGUCGACUUGGAGGUUGUGCCCUUGAGGCGUGGCUUCCGGAGCUAACGCGUUAAGUCGACCGCCUGGGGAGUACGGCCGCAAGGUUAAAACUCAAAUGAAUUGACGGGG